Non-coding RNA from Cyanistes caeruleus (blue tit), 2964 nucleotides. Lineage: Eukaryota; Metazoa; Chordata; Aves; Passeriformes; Paridae. The record is from RefSeq and is a predicted model, not a curated record.
CGGAAUCGCGGCGCGUCCAGUGCCUGCUGGAGCUGCAGGUGCGGCACAUCCGCGCCAGGUUCGCCGUCUAUCUCACAGAAAAUCCCGGCGGCAGCAGCAGGGAAAUCCUGGAAAGCAAAGGAAUUCUGGUGGCUGACGUCAACACCUUCCUGGGGACGGUGCAGGAAGUGGCUGCUCCCUUCAGAAGGAGCUACUGGUGACGGAGCAGAACCACGGACACGGCUCCUCCCCAGGCCCUGGGGCACCGGUUUGGUGCCCAGUCCUGUGGGGACAUCCACAGCCAUCCCAGUGGAUCCCAGGCACCCAUCCCAGUGGAUCCCAGACACCCAUCCAGGGGAUUCUCACACCCAUCCCAGUGGAACCCAACCACCAGUGGAUCCCCACACCCAUCCCGGUGGAUCCUCAUCCCGGUGGAUCCCAGCCGCUGCUGGGGGAUCUGUUUUGGCUCUGUACAUAAAUGUUAUUUAAAGGCGGGGAGCACAAACCCUCUGGGAUCUGUUCCCCGCCAUCCGCUCUCCACGGAAAAGGUUCUGACGGUACCCGGAAAUCACCGCAGACCUUUCAGGCCUUCGGUGCCAUUGAGAUUCACCUCAAGUCGAUUUUCCCAAAGUUUCCUGACGGUUGGGAAGGAGAAGAAAUCCGUUUUCCACGUGGCUGCUGCCGUUCAGGCCCACACUACACUCCAGCUCCCUUGGUUCCAGUUCCUGCCCGCAGAAUCCUCGGAAGGAGCGGGAAGCCGGGAUGGGGGAACGAGAGUUGUUCCUUACGGGGAAACGCCACAUCCGAGCCCCAGUCCUGACCUGGCUCCACGGGCCAGGGGCCUCCUUGGAGUUUUGUUCCGAAAUCCCAGAGUGCGAGGCCGUUCUGUACAGGAUGACUUUGUAGAGUUUGAUUAAUAAAACCUCAAAAAAAAAUGGGAUUUUCCCCCAGCUCUGCUUUCUGGAGAGGGGAUCCCGCUCGGCAUCCGGCCUUUUCCGACAGGGAGGGCUGGGGGUUUUCCAGCUGGGAUGGAGGUUGGGAAUCGGCAAGGAGCGAGCAAAUGAUGGAUGUCAUCGUCCCAUGGAUGCCACCAUCCCAUGGAUGCCAACGUCCCAUGGAUGCCAUCGUCCCAUCAUCCCAUGGAUGCCAUCGUGCCAUGGAUGCCAUCAUUCCCAUGGAUGCCAUCGUCCCAAGGACACCACCAUCCCAUGGAUGCCGUCAUCCCAUGGAUGUUGUUGUCCCAUGGAUGUUGUUGUCCCAUGGAUGCCAUCGUGCCAUGGAUGCCAUCGUCCCAUGGAUGCCAUCGUGCCAUCGUCCCAUGGACGCCAUCGUCCCAUCAUCCCAUGGAUGCCAUCAUCCCAUGGAUGCCAUUGUCCCAUGGACACCGUCAUUCCAUGGACACCAUCAUCCCAUGGAUGCCAUUGUCCCAUUGUCCCAUGGAUGCCAUCAUCCCAUGGAUGCCAUCGUCCUGAGCAGCAGGGGGGGAUAAUGAAUAAUCAAUCCCAUCUGAGGGUUUCUUUUCCACCUGCACUGGGUCCGGCCUGGCUCGUGGGGGCUGCACGGGAGGAACCUCCCCAGCUGAGCCAGGGGAAGCACUCCUGGAAGUGAAACCUCAGGAAUUCUUCGUGGAAGUGAAACCUUGGAAAGUGCUUCUGGAAGUGGCACCUCGGGAAUUGUUCCUGGAAGUGAAACUUCGGGAAUUGUUCCUGGAAGUGGCACCUUGGGAGGAGGAAGUGCCGGAAGCCACGGCCGGGGGAAGCCGCGGGAAGCACCGGCUCAGCUGCGGCACCGCGUCGGGACCGAAGCUGAGUUCCCGCUGGAACUCCCAGAGCUGCUCCAGGGCUUUCCCUUGGCUCUCCCGGCACCCGGCCUCGCUGCCAGCUGGGGGAGCGGGAAAGAUCACUCUGGGAUCAGGAAUGAUCACUCCGGGAUCAGGGAAGGAUCACUCUGCGAUCAGGAAAUGAUCACUCCGGGAUCAGGGAAGGAUCACUCCAGCAUUGGGAAGGAUCACUCUGGGAUAGGAAAGGAUCACUCUGGGAUGGGGAAGGAUCGCUCCAGGAUCAGGAAUGAUCAUUCUGGGAUCGGGAAUGAUUGCUCCAGAAUCGGGAAGGAUCACUGCAGGAUCAAGAAGGAUCGCUCUGGGUUGGAACACCGCUGCAGGAAUUGCUCUGUGCUGCUGCUGCCGAUUCCCGGCGGAGCCGCAGGAACCGGGAUUGUGCCGAAGCACAGCCGGAGCUGCAGGAACCGGGAUUGUGCCGAAGCACAGCCGGAGCCGCAGGAACCGGGAUUGUGCCGGAGCACAGCCGGAGCCGCAGGAACCGGGAUUGUGCCGGAGCACAGCCGGAGCCGCUGGGCCUGGAAACCAUUUCCAGCUCCAGGAAACGCUCCCGUGUCACCCCAGCAGGCAGAGAUCCCGCGGGAUCCGAGCCCGGAGCCGCUGCUCCGGCAGUGCAGUGAAUCAGACCGAGGCCAGGACUGGUUUCCAGAAUUUGGCUUUACUUGGCAGUACAGAAAUCAUUUGGAGCCUCCAGGAGAAGCACGAGCUCCGUCAUGCCGAUACCGCAGCGCCGUUUGGUCCAUCCCAGAAGCCACCAGGGGACACAAAAUACUUCCACAUCUUGCCUGCUCUGUAAUUUGUUCUCUCAAUUUUAUUAAGAUUAAAACACAAAGGAGCCUCAGGCACAGCUGUGUCCCAACCGAUGGAAACGGGUUUAGAAGCUUAAGUGGAGGUUAAGUUCUGUGCCCAGAACGAAGCCAACAUUUGCUGCUACAAUAGGUGUGGGCUUUGUCCAUGAUACAACUUUGCCACAGAGUUAAAGAUUGAUGGGAGAGACUUUUUAGGGAUGCUGUCCACAAUAAUGGAGUGCUCAGUUUCUAUUUUCCUUGAUAUCAGGUUUGAGUGACAUCAGCGUCACAUCUACGAGCUCACCAGAAGCACAGGAUCGUGAAGGAUGUUUUACAAAUGAUUAAAAAGACAAGGGAAGA